AUUGAACGCUGGCGGAAUGCUUUACACAUGCAAGUCGAACGGCAGCACGGACUUCGGUCUGGUGGCGAGUGGCGAACGGGUGAGUAAUGUAUCGGAACGUGCCCAGUCGUGGGGGAUAACGUAGUGAAAAUUACGCUAAUACCGCAUACGAUCUAUGGAUGAAAGCGGGGGAUCGCAAGACCUCGCGCGAUUGGAGCGGCCGAUAUCAGAUUAGGUAGUUGGUGGGGUAAAGGCCCACCAAGCCAACGAUCUGUAGCUGGUCUGAGAGGACGACCGGCCACACUGGAACUGAGACACGGUCCAGACCCCUACGGGAGGCAGCAGUGGGGAAUUUUGGACAAUGGGCGAAAGCCUGAGCCAGCCAUUCCGCGUGCAGGAUGAAGGCCCUCGGGUUGUAACUGCUUUUGUACAGAACGAAAAGGUUUCUACUAAUACUAGGAGCUCAUGACGGUACUGUAAGAAUAAGCACCGGCUAGCUACGUGCCAGCCGCCGCUGUAA
This 499-nucleotide ribosomal RNA is filed under the name uncultured bacterium. Its description in RNAcentral is "partial 16S ribosomal RNA". It matches the Rfam family "Bacterial small subunit ribosomal RNA", at positions 30 to 523 of the family's 1533-position model. The record is from RNAcentral.